GACGAACGCUGGCGGCGUGCCUAAUACAUGCAAGUAGAACGCACAGUUUAUACCGUAGCUUGCUACACCAUAAACUGUGAGUUGCGAACGGGUGAGUAACGCGUAGGUAACCUGCCUGGUAGCGGGGGAUAACUAUUGGAAACGAUAGCUAAUACCGCAUAAUAUUAAUUAUUGCAUGAUAAUUGAUUGAAAGAUGCAAUUGCAUCACUACCAGAUGGACCUGCGUUGUAUUAGCUAGUAGGUGAGGUAACGGCUCACCUAGGCGACGAUACAUAGCCGACCUGAGAGGGUGCUCGGCCACACUGGGACUGAGACACGGCCCAGACUCCUACGGGAGGCAGCAGUAGGGAAUCUUCGGCAAUGGACGAAAGUCUGACCGAGCAACGCCGCGUGAGUGAAGAAGGUUUUCGGAUCGUAAAGCUCUGUUGUAAGAGAAGAACGGGUGUGAGAGUGGAAAGUUCACACUGUGACGGUAUCUUACCAGAAAGGGACGGCUAACUACGUG
RNAcentral lists this ribosomal RNA (505 nucleotides) under uncultured bacterium. RNAcentral describes it as "partial 16S ribosomal RNA". It matches the Rfam family "Bacterial small subunit ribosomal RNA", at positions 28 to 507 of the family's 1533-position model. The record is from RNAcentral.